Molecule: long non-coding RNA, 122 nt
Organism: Balaenoptera acutorostrata (minke whale)
Lineage: Eukaryota; Metazoa; Chordata; Mammalia; Artiodactyla; Balaenopteridae
Exons: 3
Source: RefSeq, a predicted model, not a curated record
GGCGGGGGAAGCCUGGGUCUUUCUCAUUCACCACCCCCUUCUCCACUGCCUUGGAGAGUUCCAGAUUCCUCCUGAAACUUAGUGAAUCACUUAAUGCUGGACCUGAGAUUCCACCCGUGCAC